AGAGUUUGAUCCUGGCUCAGGAUGAACGCUGGCGGCGCGCUUAACACAUGCAAGUCGAACGGAGAUUUGGCAGAGCUAGCCUUCGGGCUAAGGAAGCCGGAUUUUAGUGGCGAACGGGUGAGUAACACGUGAGGAACCUGCCGAGCAGAGGGGGAUAACACUUAGAAAUAGGUGCUAAUACCGCAUAAGACCACGCUACCACAUGGGUAGAGGGGUCAAAGGAGAAAUCCGCUGUUUGAUGGCCUCGCGUCCGAUUAGGCAGUUGGCGGGGUAACGCCCACCAAACCAACGAUCGGUAGCCGGAUUGAGAGGUCGGCCGGCCACAUUGGGACUGAGACACGGCCCAGACUCCUACGGGAGGCAGCAGUGGGGAAUAUUGCACAAUGGAGGAAACUCUGAUGCAGCGACGCCGCGUGAGGGAAGAAGGUUUUCGGAUUGUAAACCUCUGUCUUCGGGGACGAUAAUGACGGUACCCGAAGGAGGAAGCCACGGCUAACUACGUG
This 503-nucleotide ribosomal RNA is filed under the name uncultured bacterium. RNAcentral's name for it is "bacterial SSU rRNA". It matches the Rfam family "Bacterial small subunit ribosomal RNA", at positions 8 to 507 of the family's 1533-position model. The record is from RNAcentral.